CACGUAGUUAGCCGGUGCUUAUUCUUCAGGUACCGUCAUUAGCCCCAGAUAUUAGCCGGAGCCGUUUCUUCCCUGACAAAAGAGCUUUACAACCCGAAGGCCUUCUUCACUCACGCGGCAUUGCUGGAUCAGGCUUGCGCCCAUUGUCCAAAAUUCCCCACUGCUGCCUCCCGUAGGAGUCUGGACCGUGUCUCAGUUCCAGUGUGGCUGGUCGUCCUCUCAGACCAGCUACUGAUCGUCGCCUUGGUGAGCCUUUACCCCACCAACUAGCUAAUCAGACAUCGGCCGCUCCAAAAGCAUGAGGCCCGAAGGUCCCCCACUUUCUUCCGUAGAACGUAUGCGGUAUUAGCGCAACUUUCGCUGCGUUAUCCCCCACUUCUGGGUACGUUCCGAUGUAUUACUCACCCGUUCGCCACUCGCCACCAGGCCGAAGCCCGUGCUGCCGUUCGACUUGCAUGUGUAAAGCAUGCCGCCAGCGUUCAAUCUGAGCCAGGAUCAAACU
Molecule: ribosomal RNA, 502 nt
Filed under: uncultured Massilia sp.
Lineage: Bacteria; Pseudomonadati; Pseudomonadota; Betaproteobacteria; Burkholderiales; Oxalobacteraceae
Description: partial 16S ribosomal RNA
Source: RNAcentral